Molecule: ribosomal RNA, 484 nt
Filed under: uncultured bacterium
Lineage: Bacteria
Description: partial 16S ribosomal RNA
Rfam family: Bacterial small subunit ribosomal RNA
Source: RNAcentral
AUUGAACGCUGGCGGCAGGCCUAACACAUGCAAGUCGAGCGGAUGAAGGGAGCUUGCUCCUGGAUUCAGCGGCGGACGGGUGAGUAAUGCCUAGGAAUCUGCCUGGUAGUGGGGGAUAACGUCCGGAAACGGGCGCUAAUACCGCAUACGUCCUGAGGGAGAAAGUGGGGGAUCUUCGGACCUCACGCCAUCAGAUGAGCCUAGGUCGGAUUAGCCAGUUGGUGGGGUAAAGGCCUACCAAGGCGACGAUCCGUAACUGGUCUGAGAGGAUGACCAGUCACACUGGAACUGAGACACGGUCCAGACUCCUACGGGAGGCAGCAGUGGGGAAUAUUGGACAAUGGGCGAAAGCCGGAUCCAGCCAUGCCGCGUGUGUGAAGAAGGUCUUCGGAUUGUAAAGCACUUUAAGUUGGGAGGAAGGGCAGUAAGUUAAUACCUUGCUGUUUUGACGUUACCAACAGAAUAAGCACCGGCUAACUUCGUG